AGAGUUUGAUCCUGGCUCAGAUUGGUUUGAUCCUGGCUCAGAGUGAACGCUGGCGGCAGGCCUAACACAUGCAAGUCGAACGGCAGCGGGUAGGAAGCUUGCUUCCUAUGCCGGCGAGUGGCGGACGGGUGAGGAACACAUCGGAAUCUACUCCGUCGUGGGGCAUAACGUAGGGAAACUUACGCUAAUACCGCAUACGACCUAAGGGUGAAAGUGGGGGACCGCAAGGCCUCACGCGAUGGAAUGAGCCGAUGUCCGAUUAGCUAGUUGGCGGGGUAAAGGCCCACCAAGGCGACGAUCGGUAGCUGGUCUGAGAGGAUGAUCAGCCACACUGGGACAUGAGACACGGCCCAGACUCCUACGGGAGGCAGCAGUGGGGAAUAUUGGACAAUGGGCGAAAGCCUGAUCCAGCCAUGCCGCGUGGGUGAAGAAGGCCUUCGGGUUGUAAAGCCCUUUUGUUGGGGA
RNAcentral lists this ribosomal RNA (465 nucleotides) under uncultured bacterium. Its description in RNAcentral is "bacterial SSU rRNA". It matches the Rfam family "Bacterial small subunit ribosomal RNA", at positions 1 to 445 of the family's 1533-position model. The record is from RNAcentral.